Long non-coding RNA from Herpailurus yagouaroundi (jaguarundi), 228 nucleotides. RefSeq lists it as uncharacterized. Lineage: Eukaryota; Metazoa; Chordata; Mammalia; Carnivora; Felidae. The transcript is spliced from 2 exons. The record is from RefSeq and is a predicted model, not a curated record.
CAGGGAUGGACUGAAAGAAAAGCUGAACUGUGAGGCAAGGAAUCUUAAGGACAGCCCUGGCCAACCCCACAGGGAGCUUUGGAGCUAAAAGUCUGGCCAAAGUUGCCUCAGGCACCUAAAAGAAGCAAGCCCAGCUGAGGACAAAAGAACCACCCAGUGGAGUCCAACACAGAUUGUCGCCUCACAGUAUAAUGAGCUGAAUAAAUGAUUGUUGUUUUAGAACACUAA